GACGAACUUUGGCGGCGUGCUUAACACAUGCAAGUCGAACGGAAAGGCCCUGCUUUUGUGGGGUGCUCGAGUGGCGAACGGGUGAGUAACACGUGAGUAACCUGCCCUUGACUUUGGGAUAACUUCAGGAAACUGGGGCUAAUACCGGAUAGGAGCUCCUGCUGCAUGGUGGGGGUUGGAAAGUUUCGGCGGUUGGGGAUGGACUCGCGGCUUAUCAGCUUGUUGGUGGGGUAGUGGCUUACCAAGGCUUUGACGGGUAGCCGGCCUGAGAGGGUGACCGGCCACAUUGGGACUGAGAUACGGCCCAGACUCCUACGGGAGGCAGCAGUGGGGAAUAUUGCACAAUGGGCGGAAGCCUGAUGCAGCAACGCCGCGUGCGGGAUGACGGCCUUCGGGUUGUAAACCGCUUUCGCCUGUGACGAAGCGUGAGUGACGGUAAUGGGUAAAGAAGCACCGGCUAACUACGUGCCAGCAGCCGCGGUGAUACGUAGGGUGCGAGCGUUGUCCGGAUUUAUUGGGCGUAAAGGGCUCGUAGGUGGUUGAUCGCGUCGGAAGUGUAAUCUUGGGGCUUAACCCUGAGCGUGCUUUCGAUACGGGUUGACUUGAGGAACGUAGGGGAGAAUGGAAUUCCUGGUGGAGCGGUGGAAUGCGCAGAUAUCAGGAGGAACACCAGUGGCGAAGGCGGUUCUCUGGGCCUUUCCUGACGCUGAGGAGCGAAAGCGUGGGGAGCGAACAGGCUUAGAUACCCUGGUAGUCCACGCUGUAAACGGUGGGUACUAGGUGUGGGGUCCAUUCCACGGGUUCCGUGCCGUAGCUAACGCUUUAAGUACCCCGCCUGGGGAGUACGGCCGCAAGGCUAAAACUCAAAGGAAUUGACGGGGCCCCGCACAAGCGGCGGAGCAUGCGGAUUAAUUCGAUGCAACGCGUAGAACCUUACCUGGGUUUGACAUGGAUCGGGAGUGCUCAGAGAUGGGUGUGCCUCUUUUGGGGUCGGUUCACAGGUGGUGCAUGGCUGUCGUCAGCUCGUGUCGUGAGAUGUUGGGUUAAGUCCCGCAACGAGCGCAACCCUUGUUCACUGUUGCCAGCACGUUAUGGUGGGGACUCAGUGGAGACCGCCGGGGUCAACUCGGAGGAAGGUGGGGAUGACGUCAAGUCAUCAUGCCCCUUAUGUCCAGGGCUUCACGCAUGCUACAAUGGCUGGUACAGAGAGUGGCGAGCCUGUGAGGGUGAGCGAAUCUCGGAAAGCCGGUCUCAGUUCGGAUUGGGGUCUGCAACUCGACCUCAUGAAGUCGGAGUCGCUAGUAAUCGCAGAUCAGCAACGCUGCGGUGAAUACGUUCCCGGGGCU
Molecule: ribosomal RNA, 1346 nt
Filed under: uncultured bacterium
Lineage: Bacteria
Description: partial 16S ribosomal RNA
Rfam family: Bacterial small subunit ribosomal RNA
Source: RNAcentral